UACGAAGGGGGCUAGCGUUGUUCGGAAUUACUGGGCGUAAAGCGCACGUAGGCGGGUAUUUAAGUCAGGGGUGAAAUCCCAGAGCUCAACUCUGGAACUGCCUUUGAUACUGGGUAUCUUGAGUAUGGAAGAGGUAAGUGGAAUUGCGAGUGUAGAGGUGAAAUUCGUAGAUAUUCGCAGGAACACCAGUGGCGAAGGCGGCUUACUGGUCCAUUACUGACGCUGAGGUGCGAAAGCGUGGGGAGCAAACAGG
RNAcentral lists this ribosomal RNA (253 nucleotides) under uncultured bacterium. RNAcentral's name for it is "partial 16S ribosomal RNA". It matches the Rfam family "Bacterial small subunit ribosomal RNA", at positions 524 to 776 of the family's 1533-position model. The record is from RNAcentral.